ACCGUGGUAAUUCUAGAGCUAAUACAUGCUAAAAACCCCGACUUCGGAAGGGGUGUAUUUAUUAGAUAAAAAACCAAUGCCCUCUGGGCUCUUUGGUGAUUCAUAAUAACUUAACGAAUCGCAUGGCCUUGCGCCGGCGAUGGUUCAUUCAAAUUUCUGCCCUAUCAACUUUCGAUUGUAAGAUAGAGGCUUACAAUGUAUUAACGGGUAACGGGGAAUUAGGGUUCUAUUCCGGAGAGGGAGCCUGAGAAACGGCUACCACAUCCAAGGAAGGCAGCAGGCGCGCAAAUUACCCAAUGCUAAUUCAGCGAGGUAGUGACAAUAAAUACUGAUACGGGGCUCUUUCGGGUCUCGUAAUUGGAAUGAGUACAAUCUAAAUCCCUUAACGAGGAACAAUUGGAGGGCAAGUCUGGUGCCAGCAGCCGCGGUAAUUCCAGCUCCAAUAGCGUAUAUUAAAGUUGUUGCCGUUAAAAAGCUCGUAGUUGAACCUUGGACCUGGCUGAUCUGUCCUCCUAAUCGAGCGCACGGAUUCGGUCGGGUCUUUCCUUCUGGGGAGCCCUAUGCCCUUCACUGGGUGUAGUGGGGAACCAGGACUUUUACCUUGAAAAAAUUAGAGUGUUCAAAGCAGGCCUUUGCUCGAAUACAUUAGCAUGGAAUAAUAGAAUAGGACAUCGGUUCUAUUUUGUUGGUUUCUAGGACCGCUGUAAUGAUUAAUAGGGAUAGUCGGGGGCGUCAGUAUUCAAUUGUCAGAGGUGAAAUUCUUGGAUUUAUUGAAGACUAACUACUGCGAAAGCAUUCGCCAAGGAUGUUUUCAUUAAUCAGUGAACGAAAGUUAGGGGAUCGAAGACGAUCAGAUACCGUCGUAGUCUUAACCAUAAACUAUGCCGACUAGGGAUCGGACGGUGGUUUUUUUAUGCCCCGUUCGGCACCUUACGAGAAAUCAAAGUUUUUGGGCUCGGGGGGGAGUAUGGUCGCAAGGCUGAAACUUAAAGAAAUUGACGGAAGGGCACCACCAGGCGUGGAGCCUGCGGCUUAAUUUGACCACAACACGGGGAAACUCACCAGGUCCAGACAUGCUUAGGAUUGACAGAUUGAUAGCUCUUUCUUGAUUGUAUGGGUGGUGGUGCAUGGCCGUUCUUAGUUGGUGGAGUGAUCUGUCUGCUUAAUUGCGAUAACGAACGAGACCUUGACCUGCUAAAUAGCCAGGUUGACUUCUGUCGGCCGCCGGCUUCUUAGAGGGACUUUUGGCUCAAGCCAAUGGAAGUACGAGGCAAUAACAGGUCUGUGAUGCCCUUAGAUGUUCUGGGCCGCACGCCCGCUACACUGACAGAGCCAGCGAGUACAUCACCUUGGCCGAAAGGUCUGGGUAAUCUUGUUAAACUCUGUCGUGCUGGGGAUAGAGCAUUGCAAUUAUUGCUCUUCAACGAGGAAUGCCUAGUAAGCGCAAGUCAUCAGCUUGCGUUGAUUACGUCCCUGCCCUUUGUACACACCGCCCGUCGCUACUACCGAUUGAAUGGCUCAGUGAGGCCUUGGGACUGGCUCAGAGAGGUCGGCAACGACCACUCAGAGCCGGAAACUUGUUCAAACUUGGUCAUUUAGAGGAAGUAAAAGUCGUAACAAGGUUUCCGUAGGUGAACCUGCGGAAG
Molecule: ribosomal RNA, 1646 nt
Filed under: metagenome
Description: SSU rRNA
Rfam family: Eukaryotic small subunit ribosomal RNA
Source: RNAcentral